GACGAACGCUGGCGGCGUGCCUAAUACAUGCAAGUUGAGCGCUGAAGGUUGGUACUUGUACCAACUGGAUGAGCAGCGAACGGGUGAGUAACGCGUGGGGAAUCUGCCUUUGAGCGGGGGACAACAUUUGGAAACGAAUGCUAAUACCGCAUAAAAACUUUAAACACAAGUUUUAAGUUUGAAAGAUGCAAUUGCAUCACUCAAAGAUGAUCCCGCGUUGUAUUAGCUAGUUGGUGAGGUAAAGGCUCACCAAGGCGAUGAUACAUAGCCGACCUGAGAGGGUGAUCGGCCACAUUGGGACUGAGACACGGCCCAAACGCCUACGGGAGGCAGCAGUAGGGAAUCUUCGGCAAUGGACGAAAGUCUGACCGAGCAACGCCGCGUGAGUGAAGAAGGGUUUCGGAUCGUAAAACUCGGUUGGUAGAGAAGAACGUUGGUGAGAGUGGAAAGCUCAUCAAGUGACGGUAACUACCCAGAAAGGGACGGCUAACUACGUG
This 497-nucleotide ribosomal RNA is filed under the name uncultured bacterium. Its description in RNAcentral is "partial 16S ribosomal RNA". It matches the Rfam family "Bacterial small subunit ribosomal RNA", at positions 28 to 507 of the family's 1533-position model. The record is from RNAcentral.